UGCUGCCCAGCAAUGGGAUGUGCUCGUCCGGAUGUGCGUCCCUUCUCUAUUCCACCCCAUUGUGAACCAAGUGUGCAAGCUGAAGAGAGAUUGGAAGCUUGCAUGCAACCCUUAACAUACCCCAAUGAAGUAUCAGAAUGUACCUUGCGUUAACUCGCACAAAUACAACUUUCAACAACGGAUCUCUUGGCUCUCGCAUCGAUGAAGAACGCAGCGAAAUGCGAUAAGUAAUGUGAAUUGCAGAAUUCAGUGAAUCAUCGAAUCUUUGAACGCACCUUGCGCCCCUUGGCAUUCCGAGGGGCACGCCUGUUUGAGUGUCGUGAACUCCUCCACCCUCUACCUUUUUUCGGAAGGCAUUGGGCUGGGAUUUGGGAGCUUGCGGGUCCCUGGCCGAUCCGCUCUCCUUGAAUACAUUAGCGAAGCCCUUGCGGCCUUGGUGUGAUAGUCAUCUACACCUCGGCUUAGCGAAAAUAACGGGAGUUGCUUCCAACCGUCUCGCAAGAGACAAUUCAUUACCAACUUGACCUCAAAUC
RNAcentral lists this small RNA (533 nucleotides) under Peniophora limitata. RNAcentral's name for it is "eukaryotic LSU rRNA". The stretch from base 167 to 320 matches the Rfam family "5.8S ribosomal RNA". The record is from RNAcentral. Lineage: Eukaryota; Fungi; Basidiomycota; Agaricomycetes; Russulales; Peniophoraceae.